RNAcentral lists this long non-coding RNA (1119 nucleotides) under Rattus norvegicus (Norway rat). Its description in RNAcentral is "long non-coding RNA NONRATT001674". The record is from RNAcentral. Lineage: Eukaryota; Metazoa; Chordata; Mammalia; Rodentia; Muridae.
AAACAUGGGCAUUAUGUCAUGAGUUUUUAUACAGCUUGGACAGAUGAAGGAAAUGAGGAGGUGCUCAUUGCCACUUGGUGGGUGUGACACCAUCUCCAUAGCUUUACCCAGCUCUCAAACUCAGUGAUGAAGCUUCCCUUUAUCCUAGCGCUGUCUUGGAAAAACCCUUCCAGGCCUUAAAUUUAUGUCAGUCUUGGAACAAAGUGCAUCAUGUUGUCAGGAGUAAAGCUAUUAGGAAAAUGAUAGCAUUUCUAUCGUAUCUCUUUUCUUGCGAAGUGAAACAUUGCAUUUUUAUCAAAUAAGAAGUUAGUAUAGAAUAUUCUAGAAACCCCUAUGACCAAUAUUUUCAAGCGCUAGGUUUGUUUGGAAAUGUUUAUACAAAGGGCAGUGCCACAAUGUACAUCUUGAACACCCAGCAUCAUUCAUGGCAAACUGUAAAUCUCUGGUCCCAGUUCACCUCGAUUUUGUGGUAAUGAAUUUAUAACUAAUCUAAAAGUGAAAGAAGUUACAAACCAAAAGCCUUCAUUCUUUCAAAUAUGUUUGGGGUAAAGGCUGGAAGGCUACACUGUUUCUCCCAACAGACAUUUCUCCAUUUUGAGAGAGAAAUCAAGAGGAAGAACAAAGCUCCUCGCUUCUCUCUUAUGCCCUGUUUAAUAGAAAGGGAGAUAACAAGACCCAGCCCCUUAGAAAAGAAAGUCACUGGAACGUUUUGGAGACUGAAGAAUAUUUCCCUGCUCAGGGAUUAGCAAUGUUUCUCUAUGGGUAACAAUACAUCCUGUUAGGCAGGGCAGCCCUAGCUAUGACUGAACCCCACAGGACUGUACCCCUUCUUAAUCUCAAAUAUCUCCCCACACCAACCCUUUCCCCCACUGACUCCUUGUUGUCCUAUGAUGGUUUGGUUCUCGGUCUUGCAACUGCAAUAUCUGCUCUUCUGAGAGGCAGGUGCAGCUUGAACUAACGGACUCAGCUGCAAAUCAGUGCAGGAGCUCAGUGAUCUGAAGGAAUGCAUCCCCUCUUGGCCAAGUCACCUCUGCCACCCUCUCUCUAGCUCUCCCUCUCACUAUUUUGUGUCUGUUCCUUUUUUUUCCUCUCAGUCUCCCUGGACUGCAGACCUAGCUU